Molecule: non-coding RNA, 77 nt
Organism: Schistosoma curassoni
Lineage: Eukaryota; Metazoa; Platyhelminthes; Trematoda; Strigeidida; Schistosomatidae
Source: Rfam
UGUCUUCUGAAUCCGUGUCGAGAUUUCAUCAGACACCAGGCUAUCAGUAUUGAUGAGACUCCCAAGAUAAGGGAACU